CUAUACGGUGAAACUGCGAAUGGCUCAUUAAAUCAGUUAUCGUUUAUUUGAUAGUACCUUACUACAUGGAUAACCGUGGUAAUUCUAGAGCUAAUACAUGCUAAAAACCUCGACUUCGGAAGGGGUGUAUUUAUUAGAUAAAAAACCAAUGCCCUUCGGGGCUCCUUGGUGAAUCAUAAUAACUUAACGAAUCGCAUGGCCUUGCGCCGGCGAUGGUUCAUUCAAAUUUCUGCCCUAUCAACUUUCGAUGGUAGGAUAGUGGCCUACCAUGGUAUCAACGGGUAACGGGGAAUUAGGGUUCGACUCCGGAGAGGGAGCCUGAGAAACGGCUACCACAUCCAAGGAAGGCAGCAGGCGCGCAAAUUACCCAAUCCCGACACGGGGAGGUAGUGACAAUAAAUACUGAUACAGGGCUCUUUUGGGUCUUGUAAUUGGAAUGAGUACAAUUUAAAUCCCUUAACGAGGAACAAUUGGAGGGCAAGUCUGGUGCCAGCAGCCGCGGUAAUUCCAGCUCCAAUAGCGUAUAUUAAAGUUGUUGCAGUUAAAAAGCUCGUAGUUGAACCUUGGGCCUGGCUGGCCGGUCCGCCUCACCGCGUGUACUGGUCCGGCCGGGCCUUUCCUUCUGGGGAACCUCAUGCCCUUCACUGGGCGUGUUGGGGAACCAGGACUUUUACUUUGAAAAAAUUAGAGUGUUCAAAGCAGGCCUUUGCUCGAAUACAUUAGCAUGGAAUAAUAGAAUAGGACGUGUGGUUCUAUUUUGUUGGUUUCUAGGACCGCCGUAAUGAUUAAUAGGGAUAGUCGGGGGCAUCAGUAUUCAAUCGUCAGAGGUGAAAUUCUUGGAUUGAUUGAAGACUAACUACUGCGAAAGCAUUUGCCAAGGAUGUUUUCAUUAAUCAGUGAACGAAAGUUAGGGGAUCGAAGACGAUCAGAUACCGUCGUAGUCUUAACCAUAAACUAUGCCGACUAGGGAUCGGACGGUGUUAGUAUUUUGACCCGUUCGGCACCUUACGAGAAAUCAA
This 1019-nucleotide ribosomal RNA is filed under the name Cladosporium bruhnei. RNAcentral describes it as "SSU rRNA". It matches the Rfam family "Eukaryotic small subunit ribosomal RNA", at positions 74 to 1101 of the family's 1831-position model. The record is from RNAcentral. Lineage: Eukaryota; Fungi; Ascomycota; Dothideomycetes; Cladosporiales; Cladosporiaceae.